UAGAGUUUGAUCCAUGGCUCAGGACGAACGCUGGCGGCGUGCUUAACACAUGCAAGUCGAACGGUGAUGGCCAGCUUGCUGGUCUGAUCAGUGGCGAACGGGUGAGUAACACGUGAGCAACCUGCCCCUUACUCUGGGAUAAGCCUUGGAAACGAGGUCUAAUACCGGAUACGAGACGCACGGGCAUCUGUAGCGUCUGGAAAGAUUUAUCGGUGAGGGAUGGGCUCGCGGCCUAUCAGCUUGUUGGUGGGGUAAUGGCCUACCAAGGCGACGACGGGUAGCCGGCCUGAGAGGGCGACCGGCCACACUGGGACUGAGACACGGCCCAGACUCCUACGGGAGGCAGCAGUGGGGAAUAUUGCACAAUGGGCGCAAGCCUGAUGCAGCGACGCCGCGUGCGGGAUGACGGCCUUCGGGUUGUAAACCGCUUUCAGCAGGGAAGAAGCGAAAGUGACGGAC
Molecule: ribosomal RNA, 459 nt
Filed under: Cellulomonas sp. KB20
Lineage: Bacteria; Bacillati; Actinomycetota; Actinomycetes; Micrococcales; Cellulomonadaceae
Description: bacterial SSU rRNA
Rfam family: Bacterial small subunit ribosomal RNA
Source: RNAcentral